GACGAACGCUGGCGGCGUGCCUAAUACAUGCAGGUAGAACGCACAGUUUAUACCGUAGCUUGCUACACCAUAGACUGUGAGUUGCGAACGGGUGAGUAACGCGUAGGUAACCUGCCUGGUAGCGGGGGAUAACUAUUGGAAACGAUAGCUAAUACCGCAUAAUAUUAAUUAUUGCAUGAUAAUUAAUUGAAAGGUGCAAUUGCACCACUACCAGAUGGACCUGCGUUGUAUUAGCUAGUAGGUGAGGUAACGGCUCACCUAGGCGACGAUACAUAGCCGACCGGAAAGGGGGAUCGGCCGCACUGGGACUGAGACACGGCCAAGGCUCCUACGGAAGGCAGCAGAAGGGAAUCUUCGGCAAUGGACGAAAUUCUGACCGAGCAACGCCGCGUGAGUGAAGAAGGUUUUGGGAGCGUAAAGCUCGGUUUUAGGUGAAAAACGGGUUUGAGAAGGGAAGGUUCGCACGGGGCCGUUAUCUUACCAGAAGGGACGGCUAACUACGUG
Molecule: ribosomal RNA, 504 nt
Filed under: uncultured bacterium
Lineage: Bacteria
Description: partial 16S ribosomal RNA
Rfam family: Bacterial small subunit ribosomal RNA
Source: RNAcentral